GACGAACGCUGGCGGCGUGCCUAAUACAUGCAAGUAGAACGCUGAAGGAGGAGCUUGCUUCUCCGGAUGAGUUGCGAACGGGUGAGUAACGCGUAGGUAACCUGCCUGGUAGCGGGGGAUAACUAUUGGAAACGAUAGCUAAUACCGCAUAAGAGUAGAUGUCGCAUGACAUUUGCUUAAAAGGUGCAACUGCACCACUACCAGAUGGACCUGCGUUGUAUUAGCUAGUUGGUGAGGUAACGGCUCACCAAGGCAACGAUACAUAGCCGACCUGAGAGGGUGAUCGGCCACACUGGGACUGAGACACGGCCCAGACUCCUACGGGAGGCAGCAGUAGGGAAUCUUCGGCAAUGGACGGAAGUCUGACCGAGCAACGCCGCGUGAGUGAAGAAGGGUUUCGGAUCGUAAAGCUCUGUUGUAAGAGAAGAACGAGUGUGAGAGUGGAAAGUUCACACUGUGACGGUAUCUUACCAGAAAGAGACGGCUAACUACGUG
Molecule: ribosomal RNA, 495 nt
Filed under: uncultured bacterium
Lineage: Bacteria
Description: partial 16S ribosomal RNA
Rfam family: Bacterial small subunit ribosomal RNA
Source: RNAcentral